CCCCCCCGGGCCGAGGGAGCCGGAGUCGAAGGGGGGCAGCGGCUCCGCAGCGGCCAGAGCCCGGCCCGUCGGGGCGCCUGUGCGCACCCACCGGCCGUGUGCGGAGUUUUUCGGGGCAUUCGUUUCAAACGAAUUUGGGAACGUCGGUGGCGGGUCCGUAAAGCCCCCCUGCGCCAGUCUCCCUCCCCCCCGAGCAGAAUUAGCACUCGGCCGCUCAACGCCCUGCCGCUGGCCGAUUCCUGCGGGAUUCAACCCGUGCUUGUUUGGAAACGAUUGCGUCCCGCUCUCCGCGCUUCCCGCUCAGCCGCAGCGGAGGAUGGGGCGCAGCUGGGGCCGCAGCGGACGGCCGCGGGGUGGGAGAGAGGAUCUGCUUCAAAAAUGCUCCUCCGAACAGACACGGCGAGGGAAGCACAGAUCCCGUCUCCCACCCCCGGGAAGCACGGAUCCCCUCUCCCAUCCCCGACCUCUGUGCUUACUCCGGGCGACUUUCGGAAGGGAGAAUCCGGCGCCGUCCCGCUCCCCUCGGCGGCCGGGGCCGUAGCAAAAGACAAAAGAGCUGCAGAGGUCUGGGCUCCCCUCCCGCCUCCGUGCUACCGCGUUCUGUCGCUGCACGUUUAUCGGGGAUCUACCUGACUCCGCUUCCUCUCCUUCCGUCUCAGAACCACAGCGGCGGAGGCUGAAUGGGAGCAGCUGUUCGCCCUAGCCGGAAAGGAGAUGUCAAAACCUGUUGCGUGGACGGAGCUCUGAGAAAAUCUCUUCUUAGCUCCCUAAAAUGUGAGUACGGACCCUACACGCAAGCCCCUCCGCGGGCGCUUUCACUUCGGGCGGCGGUGGCCGGGCGGCGUGUGUCGCCGCUUCCCAGAGCGACUGCAAAUUAGGGACAGCUGGAUCCCAAUGCUCUGUAACUGCUUUUAACUUUGGGGCAAGAAAAUUCUUCCUAUUAGUGCUAGAAGAGGGAGCAGAUACCGGCUGCUGAGCCCCGGCACGGGGCGAGUCAAGUUGCGAGGGAAUCAAACGAUCAGGCGAGGAGCUUUUCUGGCAUGUGCAAAAGAGCUCGUUCACUGCAGUUAUAUUUCAGAGCAAGAAGCAAUCGCCUGGUAACAUUUGCCCCCCGUCCGACGGGAACAUUUUGAGGGGUGUCUCCGUGCAGCCGCAGCCAAAGGCUUUUCUGGGCUGCCCCAAACUUGCUCCCGGCCCCGCUGUGCCCGGCGCAGGAGCCCCGGGUUCAUCCCGGUGCCGGCCAGGGAAGCGGUGUGACUGACCCCAGGACACCCUCAGCAGAGGUCUGGCCCCUCCGGGAAGUCGUUGCCGAGCACCAGGCAGCGUGCGGGACCGGCAGUGUCAGCGCAAGUGGCUGUGAAAUAGGAGGAAAAUAAAAAAGUCGUUUUUUUUCUCUCGUAACGCUCC
This 1407-nucleotide long non-coding RNA is filed under the name Anas platyrhynchos platyrhynchos (common mallard). RNAcentral describes it as "lncRNA (ENSAPLG00000016962.1)". The record is from RNAcentral. Lineage: Eukaryota; Metazoa; Chordata; Aves; Anseriformes; Anatidae.